GAAUUGACGGGGGCCCGCACAAGCGGUGGAGCAUGUGGUUUAAUUCGAUGCAACGCGAAGAACCUUACCUGGUCUUGACAUCCACGGAAGUUUUCAGAGAUGAGAAUGUGCCUUCGGGAACCGUGAGACAGGUGCUGCAUGGCUGUCGUCAGCUCGUGUUGUGAAAUGUUGGGUUAAGUCCCGCAACGAGCGCAACCCUUAUCCUUUGUUGCCAGCGGUCCGGCCGGGAACUCAAAGGAGACUGCCAGUGAUAAACUGGAGGAAGGUGGGGAUGACGUCAAGUCAUCAUGGCCCUUACGACCAGGGCUACACACGUGCUACAAUGGCGCAUACAAAGAGAAGCGACCUCGCGAGAGCAAGCGGACCUCAUAAAGUGCGUCGUAGUCCGGAUUGGAGUCUGCAACUCGACUCCAUGAAGUCGGAAUCGCUAGUAAUCGUGGAUCAGAAUGCCACGGUGAAUACGUUCCCGGGCCUUGUACACACCGCCCGUCACACCAUGGGAGUGGGUUGCAAAAGAAGUAGGUAGCUUAACCUUCGGGAGGGCGCUUACCACUUUGUGAUUCAUGACUGGGGUGAAGUCGUAACAAGGUAACCGUAGGGGAACCUGCGGUUGGAUCACCUCCUUACCUU
This 630-nucleotide ribosomal RNA is filed under the name Shigella flexneri. RNAcentral's name for it is "bacterial SSU rRNA". It matches the Rfam family "Bacterial small subunit ribosomal RNA", at positions 907 to 1533 of the family's 1533-position model. The record is from RNAcentral. Lineage: Bacteria; Pseudomonadati; Pseudomonadota; Gammaproteobacteria; Enterobacterales; Enterobacteriaceae.